Non-coding RNA from Suillus bovinus, 83 nucleotides. NCBI's taxonomy places the organism in Eukaryota, Fungi, Basidiomycota, Agaricomycetes, Boletales, Suillaceae. The record is from the annotation of a RefSeq genome assembly.
UCGGAUAUGGUGUAAUGGUUAACAUUACCGCCUCUCAAGCUUAGGAUUCGCGGUAGCUCGGGGUUCGAUUCCCCGUAUCCGAA